RNAcentral lists this long non-coding RNA (405 nucleotides) under Apteryx owenii (little spotted kiwi). Its description in RNAcentral is "lncRNA (ENSAOWG00000002922.1)". The record is from RNAcentral. Lineage: Eukaryota; Metazoa; Chordata; Aves; Apterygiformes; Apterygidae.
UUUCUCUGUUCUCUGCCAUAUUUUUCAGCAGUCCAUAGAAAGUGAGUGCUGUGUGUCGUUGUCAGAGCCUGCCAGGCUCCGUAUCGUGCUCCAGCAGCUGCACUCAUCCAGCCACCCUCCGUCUCCCACAUGAGUGAGAAGUCUCGUGAUUGCUCAUCGUGUGGGAUGCCGUGUUCUGCUGCUGCAGUGUGAACCACCAACACCCCUUCACUUGGUGUUAUUGCUCAGUGUGGUCUGAGAAAGGAUAACUGGUCUGCUCAAAAAGUGGGAAGCAGCAGAGAGUAACAACAUAUUCCAGUAGCUCUCUCACUAAAUCUUUUGCAAGACUGAAUGUACAGUUCUAGGGAAAGCUUCUAGGAGGUAUGUAUAUAGUUGCAAUUAUUGUCUUUUAAAGAAUAUAUGCGA